RNAcentral lists this long non-coding RNA (794 nucleotides) under Brassica rapa (field mustard). Its description in RNAcentral is "long non-coding RNA (BRAP_LNC000030)". The record is from RNAcentral. Lineage: Eukaryota; Viridiplantae; Streptophyta; Magnoliopsida; Brassicales; Brassicaceae.
AGGAGAAUGAGAUUCCGGAGUCUGAUGAUGAGGAGGAGGAUGAUGAUGAUGAGGAGGAAGAGGAGGGGGAUGAUGGAGAUGAUGGUGAGGAGAGGAGAAAUGUGAUUAGCAAUGGACGUAGUAGUGAAGUGGUUGUGGAGGUUGAUGAAGAAGAGAGCGGAGCUGAUGAUGAUGAUGGAGAUGUGAUGAGGAAUGGGCGCGGUGAAGGGGUUGAUGAAGAAGAGAGCGGAGCUGAUGAUGACGACAGAGAUGAGAGGCCUGAAGUGAUGGGCAAUGGGCACAGUGAAGGGGCUGAUGAAGAAGAGAGCGGAGCUGAUGAUGAGGGAGAAGAUGGUGAGGAGAGGCCAAAUGUGAUGAGAAAUGGGCGGAAUGAAGGGGUUGUGGAGGGUGAUGAAGAAGAGAGCGGAGCUGAUGACGACGACGGAGAUGAGAGGCCUGAAGUGAUGAGCAAUGGGCAUAGUGAAGGGGUUGAUGAGGAAGAGAGCGGAGCCGAUGAUGAUGAUGAUGGUGAGGAGAGGCCAAAUGUGAUGAGCAAUGGGCGGAAUGAAGAGGUUGUGGAGGGUGAUGAAGAGGAGAGCGGAGCUGAUGAUGAUGAUGGAGAUGAUGGUGAGGAGAGGCCAGAUGUGAUGAGCAAUAGGCACGGUGAAGGGGUUGUGGAGGGUGAUGAAGAGGAGAGCGGGGCUGAUGAUGACGAAGGAGAUGAUCCAGAGAUUGAUGCUGAUGGCGAAGUGACGGUUACGGGAAGACAGUCCAAUGAGUUGCGAGAUGAACAUCUGAAUAUGGAUGAAGAAGAU